AGAGUUUGAUCCUGGCUCAGAACGAACGCUGGCGGCGUGCUUAACACAUGCAAGUCGAACGAGAACACCCCUUCGGGGGUUAUUAAAGUGGCGGACGGGGGAGUAACGCGUGGGUAAUCUACCUUCCAGAGGGGGACAACGCCGAAAGGCGGGCUAAUACCGCGUAACACGAUCGGUUCAUAAGGGCCGAUCGUCAAAGGCAGCCUCUUCUUGAAAGCUGUCACUGGAAGAUGAGCCCGCGUCCCAUUAGCUAGUUGGAGGGAUAACAGCCCCCCAAGGCAACGAUGGGUAGCCGGCCUGAGAGGGUGAACGGCCACACUGGAACUGAGACACGGUCCAGACUCCUACGGGAGGCAGCAGUGGGGAAUAUUGCGCAAUGGGCGAAAGCCUGACGCAGCAACGCCGCGUGAGCGAUGAAGGCCCUUGGGUCGUAAACUCCUGUCGCAGGGAACGAAAGCCAUUAUCCGAAUAAGGUAAUGGGCUGACGGUACCACCAGAGGAAGCACCGGCUAACUCCGUGCCAGCAGCCGCGGUAAGACGGAGGGGGCGAGCGUUGUUCGGAAUUACUGGGCGUAAAGGGCGCGUAGGCGGUCAUGUAAGUCGGAGGUGAAAGCCCAUGGCUCAACCGUGGAAUUGCCUUCGAAACUGCGUGACUUGAGUACGGAAGAGGAGAGCGGAAUUCCCAGUGUAGCGGUGAAAUGCGUAGAUAUUGGGAGGAACACCAGUGGCGAAGGCGGCUCUCUGGUCCGAAACUGACGCUGAGGCGCGAAAGCCAGGGGAGCAAACGGGAUUAGAUACCCCGGUAGUCCUGGCCGUAAACGUUGUGCACUAGGUGUAGGGGGUAUCGACCCCCUCUGUGCCGAAGCUAACGCAUUAAGUGCACCGCCUGGGGAGUACGAUCGCAAGAUUGAAACUCAAAGGAAUUGACGGGGGCCCGCACAAGCGGUGGAGCAUGUGGUUUAAUUCGACGCAACGCGAAGAACCUUACCAAGGCUUGACAUCCUUUGACCGCCAUGGAAACAUGGUUUUCCCUUCGGGGACAAAGUGACAGGUGCUGCAUGGCUGUCGUCAGCUCGUGUCGUGAGAUGUUGGGUUAAGUCCCGCAACGAGCGCAACCCUUGCCCUCUGUUGCCAUCAGGUUAAGCUGGGCACUCUGAGGGGACUGCCGGUGAUAAACUGGAGGAAGGUGGGGAUGACGUCAAGUCCUCAUGGCCUUUAUGCUUUGGGCUACACACGUGCUACAAUGGUCGGUACAAAGGGCUGCAAGACCGCGAGGUGGAGACAAUCUCAGAAAACCGGUCUCAGUUCGGAUUGGAGUCUGCAACUCGACUCCAUGAAGGUGGAAUCGCUAGUAAUCGUGGAUCAGCAUGCCACGGUGAAUACGUUGCCGGGUCUUGUACACACCGCCCGUCACACCACCCGAGUUGGCUGCACCAGAAGUCACUGUUCUAACCCGCAAGGGAGGAAGCUGCCGAAGGUAAGUCUGGUAAUUGGCGCUAAGUCGUAACAAGGUAGCCGUAUCGGAAGGUGCGGCUGGAUCACCUCCUU
RNAcentral lists this ribosomal RNA (1548 nucleotides) under uncultured prokaryote. RNAcentral's name for it is "partial 16S ribosomal RNA". It matches the Rfam family "Bacterial small subunit ribosomal RNA". The record is from RNAcentral.